CUGUGUGUCUGAGAGCCACAAAAAUUCAGAGAUAUGAGUGAGUUAUUCAGAGAGAGACGGUUGCUUAUUAAUUGGUCGGAGAAUCAGUGAAAGAAAUUGAUGUAGAGAUGUUGCAAGGAUUCAGAUGGGUUUUGAGUUCGAGCAGCUGCAGAUUGAUGCAAAGAAAUUGUUAAGGGUUUGACAUCGAUGGAAGCAGUGAGCAGAUGGGUUCGAGUGCGUGAAAUUCAGAGAAAUCAGAAGAGAUUCAUGGGAUUUUAGGUUCGAUUUUGCUGUUGUUGUUGGUUCAGGAGACUUCGGGUGGAUGCGAAAGCUACAAAUGGGUCUAGAUGAGAAGCUUGAACUGGAGGGUUGGAUUUGGAUUUCUUGAGCUGAGGAAUUGAAAGUCUAUGAAAUGGAGAUCGAUCUGGUGGUGGCUUAAUUGAGAUUAAGGGUUAGUUGGUGGUAUCUGAGAUGAAGCUGCCAUGGUUGUUGCUGUCGUAGAAUGGCUUAAGGCAAAGAGUUGUGCUGUUGGUUGCAGGUUAGGGUUCAGAUUUGAGCUCAAGGUUUAGAUGGGUUUGUGGCAAAUGAUGAGACUGUUAAGUUAAGGAAGGUGGAAGCAAAGCCGAAGUAGUCGUGGUGGUUGAGUUGGUGCAGCUGGAGUUACAGGUGAUGCUGCAAUGAUUGUAACCACUAAAUGGAGUUUGGUGAUGAUUGUGUGGUUGUCAUGAGGAGAUUCAGAGGAGCUAAAAUGGAUGGGAAGAUGAGCAAAUGGCAGUGGCUAGGGUUGUGAAGUGAACUGCAGAUGAGGUUGCAGGGUUAAUGAUAAGCAGUUGGUUUGAGGUGAACUGAGAGAUGCAAACUGGUUCUGGUGGUUGUGUUACUGAAGGGUGGAGGCCUGUAAGCUGAGUAGGUGCGAUGAAGGUGCAGAGAAAGAGUUGAAGUUGCUACCAGUAAACCAAUGUUGCUGCCAUGGGUUGUGCUGCAGGUGGGAUCUGAAGGAAUGGUUAUGUGAGCUAUAGGAAAUUUCAGGAAUAGAAGGGUAGUCUUGCUGUUGUAUGCAAAAGAACAAGGUAUUGGAAGAAGUGCUGUUGUAGCCAAAGCAGAGAAGCUGAGUCACUGGAGUUGCAGUUGGUAAUGCAAUGAGAAGUUAUGAUACAGAGUUACGAGGCAUGGGAGGUGUUGGAAGGUUAUUGGCUCAAGGAAGUGAAUCUGAUGUUGUUGGAGUUGAGAUAGUACUGGUAUUGAAGCCACUGGUGCUAGUGAAAUUGCAGGUGCAGUUGUAAGUGUGUUGAAGUGGGAGCUGCAGGGUCGAUUGAGCUUGGUUGCAAUUGAACCAAGAAACUGAAAUGGAGUUGCUGCUAAUGAUUGAAUGGAUGGAUGUAAUGUGCAGGGAAGAUAUCACUGUUGCUGUGGCAUGAAGGUGUCAUUGAAGGUUAGAAUGCUUCAACAGAGUACACUGUCAGUUCCAUGGGACUGACAGUUGAACCGAGUUGACUCAAUCCAAUGAGACAGGUGAUCUGGUUAGAUGGACUUGGAUCUGGGCUUGGCUGAUGGGUGUUUUAGGAGCGGGCUUUUGGCAGAAGAUGGUGCGACCUAAGUGAAAAUCAGGGAAGGAGAGAAAGUUAUAAGGGUCUCAUAUUCUAUUGGAUCUUAUCUUCUCUUCUCUUCUACUUUUGUUAUAGGAUUUAGAAACAUGAAAGCUUUUCUUUUUCUUCUUGUUAUGAACUCCAUGAACAUGAGUACUUAAUUUUUUUUUGGUUAUGGAUUAGUUGGAUUUCACAU
Long non-coding RNA from Papaver somniferum (opium poppy), 1761 nucleotides. RefSeq lists it as uncharacterized. The transcript has 2 exons. The record is from RefSeq and is a predicted model, not a curated record. Lineage: Eukaryota; Viridiplantae; Streptophyta; Magnoliopsida; Ranunculales; Papaveraceae.